Papaver somniferum (opium poppy) is the source of this 1340-nucleotide long non-coding RNA. RefSeq lists it as uncharacterized. The transcript has 3 exons. The record is from RefSeq and is a predicted model, not a curated record. Lineage: Eukaryota; Viridiplantae; Streptophyta; Magnoliopsida; Ranunculales; Papaveraceae.
UCUUCUUCUCUUUCCUUCUUCUCCUGUGUUUUUUAUCUGCGAGUUUUAAGAGAUGUUUUUGAGGUAGGGUUUGACAGAAUUCAUUGUUGAGCGAAAGCAGAUUAAGUAGAAGAUGUUGAUGCUGCUGUGUUUGUUUGAGCAUGGGAUGAAGAGGAUGGAGUUGCUGCUGUAAAUCAAACAUAGGAUUUUUGAAGUUUAGGUUUUCUGAUGGAUUGAGAUGUAAUUUGAGUUGGUGAUGGAUGCAGUGUAAAAGGGUUGUUGAUUAAUUGAUGUUCGGAAGUUGUUUGGAUGAAGAAUCAAAGAAGUUAAAGUUAGGGUUUCCUGAAGAAACUGAAAGAAGAAUUUGGAGUUGAAAUUGAGGUUUUAAAGGUGAGAUCUGAGAUGGGUUUUGAUCAGGAUUAAUUGAAUGGUAAGGUUCUAACAAGAAGCAUAGUUCUGAGGUUUAGCUAAGUUGUUGGUAUUGGAGUUAAAUUACUGGGGAAUUGAAUAUGAACUGCAUGUGGGUAUAGUUGAUUGUCUGAAGUGGUUGAGUUAUGGAAGCUGUGUGGUAUUGUUGCUGCUGUGGGAGUUGUUGUAAUUGCAGGUGUUUGUGAAAUGGUUAGUUGUAAUUAUUAAUGAACUUAUAGUUGAGAUAGUUGUUAUGGGUAUGGAGUGCAGUUUGAUUAUUGUUUUGAAUUACAGAGAAUGGUCUUAUGUUAGGUUAGUAUAAAGAUUGCUAAGUUGCAGGGUGAGUUAUGAAUCAUUGGUGGUGAUGAUGUUAAAUUAAUGUGUUUUCGGAUGGUGCAAGUAUAAUAUGAUGAUGGUGACAAUUAGAUGAAUGUGUAGGAUUGGGAGUUUUAUUUGUGACUUUGUUAGUGAUGACAUUACGUGGAGGAGGCCUGAAAUGCAUUUGAAUGGGUAAUGGGAUGGAUGUGUAAAUGAAAGAAUAAGCUGAACUCUGUGUUAGUGAGGCAGUGGUGGUAUUUCUGGUGUUGCAAGUGAAGUGGUAAUUGGUGGUUUGAGACGGUGGUGUGUUUAUAUCUUCUAAAUUGUAAGUGUUAUGGAUUGACUUGAAUACAAGUGGUGGUGGCGAUGUUGCUUGGCUGGUUGUAUUGGAUUGAGUCUAGUGAACUAGAAUUGCAAAGAUGUAAGGUUAGAAGUAUUGUUGGUGCGGAGAUGGAGAUGCAGGUGAUGGUUCUGUAGUUGUUUGUGAGUUGCAAUGAAGUAUUGUAGUUGUUGUAGUUAUGACUUGAUGGCAGUCUCUUUGAAGGCUUGCUUCUGCUCUUGUAGGUAAGUUGUAUUGUCUUUGUAAAUCAAUUUGGAGUUAUAAAUUGAAAUGAAAUAGAUUGAAUUUGAGAUGA